Molecule: ribosomal RNA, 516 nt
Filed under: uncultured Staphylococcus sp.
Lineage: Bacteria; Bacillati; Bacillota; Bacilli; Caryophanales; Staphylococcaceae
Description: bacterial SSU rRNA
Rfam family: Bacterial small subunit ribosomal RNA
Source: RNAcentral
AGAGUUUGAUCCUGGCUCAGGAUGAACGCUGGCGGCGUGCCUAAUACAUGCAAGUCGAGCGAACAGAUAAGGAGCUUGCUCCUUUGAAGUUAGCGGCGGACGGGUGAGUAACACGUGGGUAACCUACCUAUAAGACUGGGAUAACUUCGGGAAACCGGAGCUAAUACCGGAUAACAUUUAGAACCGCAUGGUUCUAAAGUGAAAGAUGGUUUUGCUAUCACUUAUAGAUGGACCCGCGCCGUAUUAGCUAGUUGGUAAGGUAACGGCUUACCAAGGCGACGAUACGUAGCCGACCUGAGAGGGUGAUCGGCCACACUGGAACUGAGACACGGUCCAGACUCCUACGGGAGGCAGCAGUAGGGAAUCUUCCGCAAUGGGCGAAAGCCUGACGGAGCAACGCCGCGUGAGUGAUGAAGGGUUUCGGCUCGUAAAACUCUGUUAUUAGGGAAGAACAAAUGUGUAAGUAACUGUGCACAUCUUGACGGUACCUAAUCAGAAGCCACGGCUAACUACGUG